Long non-coding RNA from Callithrix jacchus (white-tufted-ear marmoset), 1371 nucleotides. Lineage: Eukaryota; Metazoa; Chordata; Mammalia; Primates; Cebidae. The record is from Ensembl.
UAUUAUGUAUUAUGUAUAAAGAUUCUUAUCUUUUAUAUGUAAAAAUAGGCUGCACUGUCUUUGUGUAACUGAAAUGUAUGCCAUCUUUUCUUCUUGAUUCACAGGUAGCACAUUAUACUAUGAUGAUGAAUCUCUACAAUGAACAAUGGCUGUCAGGAUUCAGAGACGAUGGCGGGGCUACAGGGUUCGGAAAUACGUCUUUAAUUAUUAUUAUUUCAAAGAGUAUCUGAGAGUCGUGUCAGAGACCAAUGAUGCAAUUAGCUUCAGCUUCAUUGAAAAUUGAAAAGGAGGAGGAGGAGGAGGAAAAAGAGAAAAAGGAGAAGGAGGAAGAGGAGGAGGAAACAAUCAUUCAAUCUUAUUAUGUUUAAAGAAUAAAUCCAAGCUAGACAAAUUGUAAAUUACUGCACAUUAUAGGAGGAGGAGGAGGAGGAGGAGGAGGAGGAGGAGGACACAAUCACUCAAUCUUAUUAUGUUGAAAGCAUAAAAUCCAAACUAGAAAAAUUGUGAAUUGCUGCUUGGGGAAGGAGGAGAAGGAAGAGGAGAAGGAGAAGAAGGAGGAGGAAGAGGAGGAAAAGGAAACAAUCAGUCAAUCUUAUCAUGUUGAAAUAAUUAUAUCCAAGUUGAAAUAUUGUGAAUUGUUGGAUGAAUGAGGAAAAAGAGGAGAAAAACGAGGAAAAGAAAAAAGAGAAAACAAGAAGUGAAUCUUAUUUUGAUUAAAGCAUAAAUCAAAGAUAAAAAAUUAUGAACUGCUGUGAGAUAAAAAAGGAGGAAACGAAGAAAACAAUCAGUCAAUCUUAUUAUGUUGAAAGAAUAAAUUCCAAGCUAGACAAAUUGUGAAUUGCUGUGCAUUGAAAGAGGAGGAGGAGGAGGAGGAGGAGGAGGAGGAAAAGAAAAAAAAGAAGAACAAGAAGAAGAAAGAGAAAACUAUCAGUAAAUCUUAUCAUGUUGAAAGAAUAAAUUCCAAGCUAAAAAAUUGUGAUUUGCUGCCCGGAGGAAAAGGAGGAGGUGGAGGAGGAAAAGGAGGAAGAGGAGGAGGAAACAACCAGUCUAUCUUAUGUUGAAAAGAUAAAAUCCAAGCAAAACAAAUUGUGAAUUGCUGCGCAUUGGAGAAGGAGGAGGAGGAAAAGGAGGAGGAGGAGGAGGAGGAGGAGGAGGAGGAGGAGGAGGAGGAGGAAACAGUCAAUGCUAUUAUGUUUAAAGAAUAAAAUCCAGAUUACAAAAAUUUUGCAUUGCUAGAAAGAGGAGGAAAAGGAGGAAACAGUCAGUAAAUCUUUGAGAAGAGUAGCACGUCUGCUGGGGGCUCUUGGCCAGCAAGAGGGUCCCAACCUGGAUAGGGGGUGUGCGGAAGAUAAAAGGUGACAGACAGAAAAC